GUAGGUGGCAAGCGUUAUCCGGAAUUAUUGGGCGUAAAGCGCGCGCAGGCGGUUUCUUAAGUCUGAUGUGAAACGCCCACGGCUCAACCGUGGAGGGUCAUUGGAAACUGGGGAACUUGAGUGCAGAAGAGAAAAGCGGAAUUCCACGUGUAGCGGUGAAAUGCGUAGAGAUGUGGAGGAACACCAGUGGCGAAGGCGGCUUUUUGGUCUGUAACUGACGCUGAGGCGCGAAAGCGUGGGGAGCAAACAGGGAUUAGAUACCCUGGUAGUCCACGCCGUAAACGAUGAGUGCUAAGUGUUAGAGGGUUUCCGCCCUUUAGUGCUGCAGCUAACGCAUUAAGCACUCCGCCUGGGGAUACGGUCGCAAGACUG
RNAcentral lists this ribosomal RNA (372 nucleotides) under uncultured organism. RNAcentral describes it as "partial 16S ribosomal RNA". It matches the Rfam family "Bacterial small subunit ribosomal RNA", at positions 527 to 896 of the family's 1533-position model. The record is from RNAcentral.